Molecule: long non-coding RNA, 550 nt
Filed under: Pongo abelii (Sumatran orangutan)
Lineage: Eukaryota; Metazoa; Chordata; Mammalia; Primates; Hominidae
Description: lincRNA
Source: RNAcentral
GCUCUUUGGAAUCCUGCAGAUAUAAUCAUGAUAAUUAAACAAAACACUCAGAGAAACUGCCAACCCUAGGAUGAAAUAUAUUGUUACUGUGCUUUGGGAUUAAAAUAAGUAACUACAGUUUAUAGAACUUUUAUACUGAUACACAGACACUAAAAAGGGAAAGGGUUUGGAUGAGAAGCUCUGCUAUGUAAUCAAGAAUCUCAGCCACUCAUUUCUGUAGGAGCUGCAGGAGCUCCCUGUAAAGAGAGGUUAUGGAGUCUGUAGCUUCAGGCAACCACUGAUCCACUUCCAGUGGCUAUCUGUGAGUUUUUAUUUCCAAAUACAUGAAAUCAUAGGGGGGGUCAUCCUCCUCCAUCCAGGACCUGAGGGGUGUCCUUUUCUGUGCUUCCUUGGAUGGCAGCCUUUCCUGUGGAGUUAUUCAGAAAGUCAGGCUGACACAUGUUGUCGUCUUGAACUCUGGCAUCUCAUCUCUAUUCUAGGUGAAUCCCUUCAUGUUUAUAGUGAUUUACCAUUAAAUCACUGUGCCGUUUUUUCCUAAAAUAUAUGGGGC